RNAcentral lists this ribosomal RNA (586 nucleotides) under Bacteroidales bacterium. Its description in RNAcentral is "bacterial LSU rRNA". It matches the Rfam family "Bacterial large subunit ribosomal RNA", at positions 2287 to 2925 of the family's 2925-position model. Lineage: Bacteria; Pseudomonadati; Bacteroidota; Bacteroidia; Bacteroidales. The record is from RNAcentral.
CUCCAAAAGAGUAACGGAGGCUUUCAAAGGUACCCUCAGCACGCUUGGUAACCGUGCGUAGAGUGCAAUGGCAUAAGGGUGCUUGACUGUGAGACCAACAAGUCGAUCAGGUACGAAAGUAGGACAUAGUGAUCCGGUGGUUCCAUAUGGAAGGGCCAUCGCUCAAAGGAUAAAAGGUACUCCGGGGAUAACAGGCUGAUCACUCCCAAGAGCUCACAUCGACGGAGUGGUUUGGCACCUCGAUGUCGGCUCGUCACAUCCUGGGGCUGGAGUAGGUCCCAAGGGUUCGGCUGUUCNNGAGACAGUUCGGUCCCUAUCUGUGGUGGGCGUUGGAAUUUUGAGAAGCGCUGUCUUUAGUACGAGAGGACCGAGAUGGACAUACCUCUAGUGUACCUGUUAUGGCGCCAGCUGUAUCGCAGGGUAGCUACGUAUGGAAUGGAUAAGUGCUGAAAGCAUCUAAGCACGAAGCCUGCUUCAAGAUGAGAAUUCCUUUAAGGGUCGUUGUAGACUACGACGUUGAUAGGCUGCAGGUCUAAAGCCAGUAAUGGCAAAGCCGAGCAGUACUAAUUACCCGUAGCUUUCUAUU